AGGUACUUUCAGUUUUCAUCAGCAAUGCAGAGGAAGUUGAGGGGUUGCAAAGGGAGUUGCCUCUGAUCCUUUUGUUAUUUGGGUGUGGAGAGGUGGGCUUUUCUUUUUGAUUCAGUUCUAGGAAGUCGGCGUGAAUCAGCUUUAGGUUCCCUGCCUCCAGACCCUACUCUCCUGCCUCAAUAGCCAUGCCCGGUUAGUGUUAACUGUAACUCCCUGCUGGUCUGCCUCCUGCUAGGAGGGACGGAACAUCAAAUCACUCGCAUCGAAUUACUCAGCAGGCCCAUCGUCGCCUAACUCUGUGAGCUUUCAGCCACACCCCGGAUCAGUCAGAUCAACUGCUCAACUCGAAGGCAUCCUGACCAAAGCUCUUGCAGUCUGAGUAUUGGAAAGCCCAGCAGGAGCCUCUCCACGCAUUUCGAAUGCACCCUCCUCCAGCAAAGGUUGGUAAGUUGAAAAGACGGAAGGAUUUCAGAAGACUGGAAAUUGAAUCCCACACUCAGCUCCUCUUUGAAACUCUACAAUGAGUGCUUCAUUCCUUGGAUUUCAGCUUUUCAAAGAAAACAUCCCUAGAAGAAGGACAUCAGGGAUAGUCAUUUACCUUUCAAUGAGAAUGAAUUAUCCAGCCCUUGUCGGGACAGCGUUUGUGAGGCAGCAAAGCUCAAUGUUGAGAAGAGCCUGAAAGAAUGAUGGACUGACGCUGCCAAAAAGAGAAAGAGCAGGACCUUCACAGCUUUGCCUAAGGCCAUUAUGAAUUUGGACCAAAUAGGUGUUAUCAUCUACACAGGCAGGACCUCCUGGGUAGGGGGCUGCCACCUUUUCCAGGCACUUGGAAGGGUGGCCUCCAGCUGUGGAGCCACAGAACUAAAUAUUAUAGCUGGCCCAGGAACACCCCUUUAGGCUAGGGAAGGAAUAUAAUCCGGCUUCUUCUUCCUCUGACCCUGAGAUUUCGGCCAAGUCUCCAUUAGCGAUUGGCCUCCUAGGGUGUCAAACAGGGUGGACAAGUUUGGAGAAUGGAUCUGGGGUGGGGUGGGGAAUGGCAAAUGGAAAAAAAGCAGCACCAACUCUUUAUUGUCAUUCAGAGAAUGCUGAGGUCCGAGGCACAACCAGCCAGAAGGUUGCUUCAGCCUUUCACUGGAAAAGCCACGUUUUCCUCAGUUGUAUCCUGCACUUCGAGUGAGGCUCCUCCAAAUGCAGGACAGUAUCAUGACCCAGGCCGAGAAAGUAUGACUGCAAAAUUCCAUGGGCCUAACCCUAGUGGGGGAGGGAAUCCAUUCUUUUAAACCAGGGUUUAAAACUCUUCAAGCAAGUCAUCUGCAAAGGUACCCCUUCUACCGUUUUAAAGAUAGGAUUAUGUUUCCUAGGACAACUGGAUGAGCCCUAGGAACCAAGAACCCUGUGCAGUUGGGGCAGAAGCCUGAGGGUUGUUUUGUUCCCCCACAGCUGUAGGCCACAAGGUUCUUACACAAGCUUUGGGGUGGCCCCACCCCAUGCCAUUCCUUCCCCUCAGUCAGUGAUGACUCAAGAGGUUUUGGGAAGGAGCUCAGGGAACACUCAAGCAGCAGGCUCAGCUUAGGGCACUUCUGAUGCAUUUUCUAGAUAACAUUAGGAGCGGGUUCCAGACAGGACUCAGAAGUAUGGACAUUCACUCCCCAGGCUUGGUCUUCAGUGCCCUGUGAGUUCAGAAAUACACUAUCUAAAGGAGAUCUUUAGGAAGGAGAAGGAGAAGAGAGGAGAGGAGGGAAGGAGGGAAGGCAGGAAGGCAGGAAGGAAGGAAGGGAGGGAGGGAAAGAGAAAGAAAGAGGGAAGGAGUGAGAAAGGAAGGAAGGAGAGAGAAGAAAGAAGGAAAGAGAGAAAAGGAAAGAAAAAGAGAAAGAAAGAGAGAAAGGAAGGAA
This is a long non-coding RNA of Pongo pygmaeus (Bornean orangutan), 1892 nucleotides long. RefSeq lists it as uncharacterized. The transcript has 3 exons. NCBI's taxonomy places the organism in Eukaryota, Metazoa, Chordata, Mammalia, Primates, Hominidae. The record is from RefSeq and is a predicted model, not a curated record.